GACGAACGCUGGCGGCGUGCUUAACACAUGCAAGUCGAACGGAAAGGCCCUGCUUUUGUGGGGUGCUCGAGUGGCGAACGGGUGAGUAACACGUGAGUAACCUGCCCUUGACUUUGGGAUAACUUCAGGAAACUGGGGCUAAUACCGGAUAGGAGCUCCUGCUGCAUGGUGGGGGUUGGAAAGUUUCGGCGGUUGGGGAUGGACUCGCGGCUUAUCAGCUUGUUGGUGGGGUAGUGGCUUACCAAGGCUUUGACGGGUAGCCGGCCUGGGAGGGUGACCGGCCACCUUGGGACUGCGAUACGGCCCAGACUCCUACGGUGGGCAGCAGUGGGGAAUAUUGCACAAUGGGCGGAAGCCUGAUGCAGCAACGCCGCGUGCGGGAUGACGGCCUUCGGGUUGUAAACCGCUUUCGCCUGUGACGAAGCGUGAGUGACGGUAAUGGGUAAAGAAGCACCGGCUAACUACGUG
RNAcentral lists this ribosomal RNA (468 nucleotides) under uncultured bacterium. RNAcentral describes it as "partial 16S ribosomal RNA". It matches the Rfam family "Bacterial small subunit ribosomal RNA", at positions 28 to 507 of the family's 1533-position model. The record is from RNAcentral.